RNAcentral lists this ribosomal RNA (253 nucleotides) under uncultured bacterium. RNAcentral describes it as "partial 16S ribosomal RNA". It matches the Rfam family "Bacterial small subunit ribosomal RNA", at positions 524 to 776 of the family's 1533-position model. The record is from RNAcentral.
UACGUAGGGUGCAAGCGUUAAUCGGAAUUACUGGGCGUAAAGGGCUCGUAGGCGGCCAACUAAGUCAUACGUGAAAUCCCUCGGCUUAACCGGGGAACUGCGUCUGAUACUGGAUGGCUUGAGAUUGGGAGAGGGAUGCGGAAUUCCAGGUGUAGCGGUGAAAUGCGUAGAUAUCUGGAGGAACACCGGUGGCGAAGGCGGCAUCCUGGACCAACACUGACGCUGAGGAGCGAAAGCCAGGGGAGCAAACAGG